UGUAUACAUAAAUGCUCCAUGAUGGGACUAUGGAAAAAUGCACACAUGACUGAUGCUUUGCCCAGAAAGAAAGUCAACAUAUUAAAAAUAAAUCUUCAGUCCAUGUUUCGAGCUGCAUAAAACAGGAAGUGAUGUACAAGGUGGUGGUUGCUGCAUGGGGACAACGAUGCUCUGAUGUGACAAUUAGGCUUCAGAUACACUGCCUUUCCGUUUCCAUGCUUCCUCCUACCAGUCUCCUUAAGACACUGCCUGCAACAGCUGAUUAAUCAUUGUUGAUGACUGCAGUUUUUCCCAUCCUUCCCGAUUUACAUCUGUUCAGGCCAAUUCAAAUAUGGUGAGUAAAUGAAUUAGACAUGCAAAUUCACGCCCCGGGCUAGAAAGAGAGAGAGAGAGACGGAGAGAAAGGGAGAGAAAGGGAAGAAAGGGGGAGAGAGAGGAGGAGGAGAGAGAGAGAGUGUGCAUGGCUGAAAUCCUAGGAUAGAAGAAAGAUUCUUCUGCCUGACAUAGUUAUUUUAAUGCUCUAAAAAUCCUGCAAAUAAGCCCUUUCUGUCAUUUGCAGGAUGAGUGUAAGGCUUCUUUUCAAUGUAAGGAGGCUUCUGGAGGAAGUGAAGAGCUAUGGAAACAACACACAUAGUGUGGAAAAAUUUCACAUUUUUUUUUAAAAAAUCUAUAAGAAACAACGUAAUAUGGAUAACAGUAUAAUAGCAUUUUACAAUAUUUCACUCUUUGUUCUCUUAAUGUCUUAUAUAGGUAUUUAGCAUGUCCCCAGAAGUUGACUUCAGUCGGUGUUUUCCUGCUUGUCAGGGUCCCUGUGACGAAUAGGAACGUCCCUUGGUCCAAAGUCGACGCCAAGAAUGGAACUCCAUAGUCAUUGCAGAAAGACAAUGUUUGAAAUCUGCCAUCUCUGCGGACAGCGCGCAUUCGUUCCCUUAAGCUACUGAGCAUGAAUGUCCAUCACUUGUCCGCUCGCCGCCGGCUCGCCGGGAUGAAGCAUUGUGGGGCUGGAUGCUGACAUGGGCAUUCCGGGGUGGGGUGGUCCUCCAUGCAUCAUCAUCGCUGGGUGGUGAGGGUGUCCAGGAAUGUAGGUAUGCAUGGGGGGGCCGUGACGCAGCUGAGCGGGAUGGGGGGGCAUCUGGGGCGGGGUAUAGCUUGGCUGUCCCAUGUUCAUACCCAUUGGACUACCCCGAGACACAUAAUCCCCUGGCACACUUUGCAGCCUUCCCCCUGGCUUUGCCAUUGGGUACCUAGGUGAAGGUUACAUGUAGUGCCACUGCCCCUCCAUGCCCAUAUUCAUGCCCAUUCCACUCAUAGGUCCUGGCGCUCGGAUGCCCAUGUGCUGCUGGCCAUCCAUCACGAAGCCUCCCAUUGGCUGCCCGUCGGGGUUGUAGGGCGUCC
This 1395-nucleotide long non-coding RNA is filed under the name Gallus gallus (chicken). Lineage: Eukaryota; Metazoa; Chordata; Aves; Galliformes; Phasianidae. The record is from RNAcentral.